AUCGGCGGUGGUAUGAGAACAUGUCGCCGUAUAUAUAUAUAAUUCUGAUUCUAUGAUCAGAAUAGAUAUUUGGAUCACGGGGCGCCUGGCGAUCCACCCGCCUGGCGAUCAGAUGUUCCCGAACUCACCCCCGCCGGCCCGUCCACAUUUACCGCAACAGUUCUCUGGCCCGAUCCACCCGCACCACCUCUCUGCCCCCAAUCCUCGUGGCCACCCGCCGCCGCCCUGGCUCCGGCGCGCCACCCGUCGCCGCACUGGCUCCGGCGCCACCCUCCGCCACCCCCACGGCCCUGACGCGCCACCCGCCACCGCCCUGCCUCCGCCGCACCCAUGGCCCCGAUGCGCCACCCGCCACCGGCCCCCUGCUUCCGCCGCCCCCAUGGGCCCGAUGCGCCACCCGCCACCGGCCCCCUGCCUUCGCCGCCCCAUGGCCCCGAUGUGCCACCCGCCACCGGCCCCUUGCCUCCGGCGCCCUACCUUCCACCGCCGCCACGGGUGGGGGGGGGGGGGGGGGGGGGGGCGCGGGGGGGGGGGGGGGGGGGGGGGGGGGGCGCUCGUGGUGGCGCAGCUGACAGGGAUUGGGCGCUUCUUGAAGCUGCAGGAGGCGUUGACCUGCAGCUGGAGCAUGCCUCGACCUGCAUCUAGUCGCGCGUGCCAUGACGGUCGAGGCCACAUGGCACGUCGAGGCCUGUAGGUGAUGAUGCCUUUGUUACUUCCGGCAACCAGGGAUGUAAGCUACUGCGGCCAUUCCCAUGUGUACGAGAUGCAUGUGGCGCACAGACCAGCCUCCCGCCCAGCCGCCGUGACAUGUGGCCACCUAGCACUUCUACGCCCCAUGCUUUUCUGUUGUUCCCCUGUACUGUAUCUAGAUCAAGCGUUGAUUCCUCCCCCCUGUCCAGUUCUGUAUUGUUUGUAAGUAAUUUUGAUGUCUGAAGUUCAGCUAUACGUGCAGGUGCAAAAAACUAAUGUUUUCCGUUGGUUUUAGUUUCACAGGUCCUUCAGAAAAAUGGGAAAAGGGGUUUUCUUCCAUAUUUAUCUACAAAAUGUAUCAAUGCCUCUGUUUAUAGGAGGCACGGAGAUGUUUCCUGGACGGAUGUGCAAUCUGGUUUAAAUGGGCGAUGGCACAAAAUUAGGCCUCUUAGGUGUGGGAAUGGCACUCUUCGCCAUGAUCGCCAUGAGGAAAAUCUACAACCUACUAAAAGUUCAGCUGGUGCUUGUGUGUUCACAUGAAGACAGGAAUUGUGUGAGGGAGUAGAAAAGAAAAUUGUGGUAGAGAACAUGCCAUAGGCGUGGGUAAGUUGUGAUGUGAGGAAAUGCAUACACAUGUGUAUACAUUCCAAUUCUGCACUCAUAUGUACUCCUGCUUUUUUUGACACAAAAAUGUGCUCCUGCUAAGACAGAGAAACUACAUGUACUUCUGUAUUUAUGCUUAAAAAAUCACUGAAAAAACCA
This is a long non-coding RNA of Aegilops tauschii subsp. strangulata, 1452 nucleotides long. RefSeq lists it as uncharacterized. NCBI's taxonomy places the organism in Eukaryota, Viridiplantae, Streptophyta, Magnoliopsida, Poales, Poaceae. The record is from RefSeq and is a predicted model, not a curated record.